Molecule: long non-coding RNA, 513 nt
Filed under: Rattus norvegicus (Norway rat)
Lineage: Eukaryota; Metazoa; Chordata; Mammalia; Rodentia; Muridae
Description: long non-coding RNA NONRATT016395
Source: RNAcentral
ACAGCUCCGAAACCAACUGUGGCAAAUUCUAAGUGCAUUGUAAAAUGACAUUUUGCUUUAAAUUUUAAUUAGGCAAGACUCAGCAAGAGCAGAAGUCUAUUUGAAAAGAAAAAAAAUCAGCACCAUCAAAUAUGAAAGAUUAAAAAUAUGCUACUUGAGAAGGGGAAAAAGAAGAGUCUUACAAAGAACAAAACAAAACUCUAGACCUGGCGGCAGCUUUUGCAGUGCCAGUCAGGGGCACCGGUUUGAGUUGCCAAACAGAUGCAAGACAGCCCGGUGCAAGCAGUGAGGGCCUGUGUGGCUCAAGGCCACACCACUCCCCUUUCGGUCAAACAGUCAACCUCUUAUUUUUGCACAAGAGAUACUUUUAGACUACAUUCCAAUUUAUUUUUCUGUUUGGUUCAUUCCAGGAAAUAUAAAGUUUCAAAAAGCAGACGGAAAGGCGGAAGGAAAGCAAAGGCAGGGAAGACAUUCUGCCUAGCUUGAGAUUUGAAAAAAAAAAAAAAAAAAAAA